UGGGGAAUUUUGGACAAUGGGGGCAACCCUGAUCCAGCCAUGCCGCGUGAGUGAAGAAGGCCUUCGGGUUGUAAAGCUCUUUCGGCCGGGAAGAAAUCGCACGGGUUAAUACCCUGUGUGGAUGACGGUACCGGAAUAAGAAGCACCGGCUAACUACGUGCCAGCAGCCGCGGUAAUACGUAGGGUGCGAGCGCUAAUCGGAAUUACUGGGCGUAAAGCGUGCGCAGGCGGCUUAGUAAGACAGGCGUGAAAUCCCGGGGCUCAACCUGGGAACUGCGCUUGAGACUGCUAAGCUAGAGUACGGGAGAGGAGAGUGGAAUUCCACGAGUAGAGGUGAAAUGCGUAGAGAUGUGGAGGAAAACCGAUGGCGAAGGCAAUCCCCUGGGCCUGUACUGACGCUCAGGCACGAAAGCGUGGGGAGCAAACA
This 427-nucleotide ribosomal RNA is filed under the name uncultured bacterium. RNAcentral describes it as "bacterial SSU rRNA". It matches the Rfam family "Bacterial small subunit ribosomal RNA", at positions 355 to 774 of the family's 1533-position model. The record is from RNAcentral.